GAUGAACGCUGGCGGCGUGCUUAACACAUGCAAGUCGAACGGAAAGGCCCCUUCUUUCAGGUGUACUCGAUUGGCGAACGGGUGAGUAACACGCGGGGGAUCUGCGCUGCACUUCGGGAUAAGCCUUGGAAACUGGGUCUAAUACCGGAUAUGACUAUGGUUUGCAUGCCAUUGUGGAAAGUUUUGCGGUGUGGGAUGAGGUCGCGGCCUAUCAGCUUGUUGCUUGGGUAAUGUCCUACCAAGGCGUCGACGGGUAGCCGUCCUGAGAGGGUGUACGGCGACAUUGGGCCUGAGAUACGGACCAGAAGCCUACGGGAGGCAGCAGUGGGGAGUAUUGCAGAAUGGCGGCAAGCCUGAUGAAGAGACGCCGCGUGCGGGAUAAUGGCCUUCGGGUUAUAAACACCUGUCGCUAGGGAUGAAGGGGAAGUGACGGUACCUGGAGAAGAAGCACCGGCUAACUACGUG
Molecule: ribosomal RNA, 465 nt
Filed under: uncultured bacterium
Lineage: Bacteria
Description: partial 16S ribosomal RNA
Rfam family: Bacterial small subunit ribosomal RNA
Source: RNAcentral